AUGCUUAAUCUUUCUCACAAUAACUUGUCUGGCAGCAUCCCUAAGUUUUUAGGGACCAUGAAAGGGCUUGCUACUUUGGAUCUCUCAUUCAACAACUUGGAUGGUGAAGUUCCAACCAGCGGCGUAUUUGCCAAUGCAACUUCUGCCUCAGUUGUGGGAAAUGCUUGGUUGUGUAACGGAAUCCCUCAACUGAAGUUGCCACCUUGCUCCAGCAGCACCACCAAGAUCCAAUCUCAGAAAGUUGUCAUCAUAAUCUCGAUAUGCGGUGCAGUUGUAUUUAUGGCAUUAGUAUUUGCAGUAUCCGCAUUUUACCAUAGGAGAAGAAAAAUGAAAUCAAACAUGCAAACAAUACUCAUCAAUGAACAAUAUAUGAGGGUUUCUUAUGCAGAACUAGUCAGUGCAACAAAUGAUUUUGCUUCCGAGAACCUCAUCGGAGCCGGAAGCUUCGGCUCAGUGUACAUGGGAACAAUGAGGAUCAAUGACCAGCAAGUAGCUGCCGCUGUGAAGGUGCUCAACCUCGCACAGCGUGGUGCAUCUCAAAGUUUUGUUGCGGAAUGUGAGACCUUGAGAUGUGUUCGACACAGGAAUCUUGUGAAGAUAUUAACAGUGUGCUCAAGUAUUGAUUAUCAAGGUCAUGACUUCAAGGCCCUUAUCUACGAGUUUCUGCCAAAUGGAAACUUAGACAAAUGGCUGCACCAACAACCAACGGAAGAUGGUGAAGAUAUGGGACUAGAUCUCCGAAUGAGACUGCAAAUUGCAAUUGAUGUAGCAUCUUCACUCGAGUAUCUUCACCAACAUAACCCAGUGCCAAUUAUUCACUGUGAUCUUAAGCCUAGCAAUGUUCUCCUCGAUGGUGAAAUGGUUGCUCAUGUUGGCGAUUUUGGGCUCGCAAGGUUUCUGCAUCAAGAUUCAGACAUAUCAACUGGCUGGGCAUCAAUGAGAGGCACACUUGGCUAUGCUGCUCCAGAGUAUGGGCUGGGCAAUGAAGUCUCAAUCCAGGGAGAUGUGUACAGCUAUGGCAUACUAUUGCUGGAGAUGUUCACUGGGAAAAGGCCAACAGAAAGCAAAUUUGGAGAAGCCAUUGGCCUUCGCAAAUAUGUCGAAAUGGCAUUGGAAGGCAGAGCAGCUAAUGUCAUAGAUAGUUACUUACUACCAGAGAUAGAAGAUUGUGAAAGAAGCACUUCAGAGUCCGACUGGACAAGUAGAGACAUGAGCAUUGCUUGCAUCUCUUCGAUUAUGCACAUUGGAGUAUCCUGUUCAGCAGAGAUGCCAAUGGAUCGCUUGUAG
Molecule: ribosomal RNA, 1287 nt
Filed under: Triticum aestivum (bread wheat)
Lineage: Eukaryota; Viridiplantae; Streptophyta; Magnoliopsida; Poales; Poaceae
Description: partial small subunit ribosomal RNA
Source: RNAcentral